Molecule: ribosomal RNA, 254 nt
Filed under: uncultured bacterium
Lineage: Bacteria
Description: partial 16S ribosomal RNA
Rfam family: Bacterial small subunit ribosomal RNA
Source: RNAcentral
UACGUAGGGUGCAAGCGUUGUCCGGAAUUAUUGGGCGUAAAGAGCUCGUAGGCGGUGUGUCGCGUCGGCCGUGAAAACCUGCAGCUUAACUGUGGGCGUGCGGUCGAUACGGGCAUCACUGGAGUUCGGCAGGGGAGACUGGAAUUCCUGGUGUAGCGGUGAAAUGCGUAGAUAUUGGGAGGAACACCAGUGGCGAAGGCGGCUCACUGGACCGGAACUGACGCUGAGGCGCGAAAGCGUGGGGAGCAAACGGG